This 105-nucleotide small nuclear RNA is filed under the name Erinaceus europaeus (western European hedgehog). RNAcentral's name for it is "7SK RNA". It matches the Rfam family "7SK RNA", at positions 2 to 107 of the family's 331-position model. From Rfam's summary of the family: 7SK was discovered as an abundant small nuclear RNA in the mid-70s but a possible function has only recently been suggested. Two independent studies have found that 7SK RNA binds the CDK9/cyclin T complex (known as elongation factor P-TEFb). The record is from Rfam by way of RNAcentral. Lineage: Eukaryota; Metazoa; Chordata; Mammalia; Eulipotyphla; Erinaceidae.
GAUGUGAGAGUGUUCUGGCUGUGACAUCUGUUACCUCGUUGAUUGCCAGGGUCAUUUGGGUAAUCUAACUGGCUAGGCAGGUGUCCCCUUAAUCCCUCAGAUGUC